UACAAAGGGGGCUAGCGUUGUUCGGAAUUACUGGGCGUAAAGCGCACGUAGGCGGAUUUGUAAGUCAGGGGUGAAAUCCCGGGGCUCAACCUCGGAACUGCCUUUGAUACUGCAAGUCUCGAGUCCGAUAGAGGUGAGUGGAAUUCCUAGUGUAGAGGUGAAAUUCGUAGAUAUUAGGAAGAACACCAGUGGCGAAGGCGGCUCACUUGAUCGGUACUGACGCUGAGGUGCGAAAGCGUGGGGAGCAAACAGG
This 253-nucleotide ribosomal RNA is filed under the name uncultured bacterium. RNAcentral's name for it is "partial 16S ribosomal RNA". It matches the Rfam family "Bacterial small subunit ribosomal RNA", at positions 524 to 776 of the family's 1533-position model. The record is from RNAcentral.